AUACGUAGGUGACAAGCGUUAUCCGGAUUUACUGGGCGUAAAGGGCGUGUAGGCGGUCUUGCAAGUCAGAAGUGAAAUUCCUGAGCUCAACUCGGGCGCUGCUUCUGAAACUGCAGGACUUGAGUGCUGGAGGGGAUAGCGGAAUUCCUAGUGGAGCGGUAAAAUGCGCAGAUAUUAGGAAGAACACCGGGGGCGAAGGCGGCUAUCUUGACAGUAACUGACGCUGAGGCGCGAAAGUGUGGGGAGCAAACAGGAUUAGAUACCCUGGUAGUCCACACUGUAAACGAUGAAUGCUAGGUGUAAGAGGUAUCGACCCCUUUUGUGCCGGAGUCAACACAAUAAGCAUUCCGCCUGGGGAGUACGGCCGCAAGGUUGAAACUCAAAUGAAUUGACGGGG
Molecule: ribosomal RNA, 397 nt
Filed under: uncultured bacterium
Lineage: Bacteria
Description: partial 16S ribosomal RNA
Rfam family: Bacterial small subunit ribosomal RNA
Source: RNAcentral